CGUCAGGCUUGGUCACAGGUUCGAGUCCCCUCGCGCGCAGUGGUUAAGCGCGCAUUUUUGCUUAUCCAGUCUCGCUGACAGGUGGGUCCCAUUGGUCAGCCUCACUAGCAUCCAGACCCCACCUGUCAUCCACUCCAGUGCAUAUCUUAAUCAACUCGUGGGAGUUGGCCUGUUUGGGAAUAUUCCCUUUUGGGAAUAAUACGUUUUUGGAUAUUUCCAUAAUUGGCAGUUUAUGUUCUUUGCAAUUGUGCAUUAUUUUUCCAAGCAACCCCCAACAUAUUAUAUAUGUUUUUGGGGUAGAAAAAUCCAAGGAAUCUGAUGGUGGUAUUUGUUUUGAGUUUUGAGCAAGUUUGUGUGCAUGAAUAUUUGAAUCUGUUGCUGUUUUAGAUUUGAUGCAUGGCCCACAUGAUAAUAGCCUUAGGGGUAAACUUUGUGCCAUUGUCUUCUAUGUCAUGCCAUGGUGCUGUAGGAUUUUUGUUGUAAUUUUUGGAUCAUUAUGUUGAGUGGCACAAGCUGUUGAAGUUGCUACUAAAUUCUGUUUUAAACAUGUGGUAAAUUUCACUAAGUCCUAAGUGUUGAAAUAAUCCAGAUGCCAUGUUUAGCUCCUGUUAUCUUUUAACCUGUGCAUAUCUAGCUAAACUUCAGUAAGGAACUUUUGUUAAGGGUGUCAUGCUUAACAUUUUCAUGCUAUGUUGCUGUAGAAGAUUUUGCUGUAUGUGUUAACUACCAUGCUCUAAAGUUGCUUCCAGAUUCUGUUUCCUGCUUGCCAUGCUAAAUUUCUACUAAGUCUGUAAACAGUAAUUUUGUCACAUGUUUAGCUCCUGUUUUAAUUGUCUUCCAAGCAUUUUCAUGAGUAGCUUAGUUGGACUUUAUUGUUGUAGUUGAAAUGCUAUUUCCAGCCAUGUUCUUAGAUUUCUAUUUGAGUUGCUGUAGCAUAUUUAAUUGUUGUGUUGAAGUAGCUAAGUUGUUGUUUUUGGCAGAUUUGCUUGUAACUUGAUAUGCUUGUCAUUUCUUGCUCGUAACUCCGAUUGCUAUGAUCUUUAUAUGGUUUUCAAUCAAUUUCACCUCCCCUAUCCAAUGGCUACCUUGUCCUGACAAGAUUGGGCCAUUUCCUUGCUGUCCACUUCAUAACUCCCUCCGAUCAUCGUGCCCCUUCGUUUCCGUUACCGUUUCGAUUCGUUGCAUCAUAUAGUCAUAUGCAUACAUGUUUCAUAUGCACUUUGUUGUGUGGUAUGUUUAUUGUAUUCUUGUUUGUGUGUGGGUAGCUCCGGGAGACGAUUUCGUGAACGAGGGUUCCGUUGAUUACGAUCAUACCGAGGAGCUGUUUACCGAUCCUACCGAGGAAUUACCAGGAAAGAUGAUCCUUACCCGUGAUACCAUUACUAUGCUUGUUUGGCUAGUUAUACGCUCUUUCGCUAUGUCAACGAAUCCUAUCACAUGUUUAGCCCCUUAUGUUGCCUCGAUGACUCUAACCAAUCCUGUCCCAGCAAAACCUUGAUUGGCUAGGUAGCGCUUGUUUUUAAGCCCCUUGUUCUUAUAGCGUUGCUAGUUGCAGGUUGAUCCUUGUUGGAUCAUAAUAUAUAUAUUCUGGGAUAUCACAAUAUUGCUAUGUUAAUAAUGCACUCUUAUAUACUUGGUAAAGGGUGGAAGGCUAAGCCUUUUGCUUGGUGUUUUGUUCCGCUCUUGCCGCCUUAAGUACCGUCAGUCCGGUAUUAUGUUCCUUGAUCUUGCGUUCCUAACGCGGUAGGGUUUUAUGGGGACCCCUUGACAGUUCGUUUGGGUUAAACAUUUCCAGCAAGGCCCAACAUUGGUUUUACCAUUUGGCAUAACAACUAAAACUUGCAUAGGGACCGGCUAGAACCCGUGGACUCUUUUAAUCAACAACCCGGGCCAGUGCUCCUCAUGAGUGUUGGUCCAAACUAGAGCACCGUGCAGGGCCGCCCCUUGGCAACUUGGGUAUUUGGCCACUGUAUGCAUAGCUCAUCCGGUCGUGGCCUGAGAUGAGAUACGCGCGGCUACUAUCAGGGUGUCGGCACGCCGGGAGGUCUUUGCUGGAUUUGUUUCGCCUUUGCAGAAAUGUCUUGUGCAACUAGAACCCGAGUCUGAUCGGAUUCUUUACUAUGGAGGAUUGUCUCCGCAUGCCGUGAGAGCUUGUCGUGGGCUAAGUUGGAACACCCCUGCAGGGUAUUAUCUUUCGAAAGCCGUGCCCGCGGUUAUGGGCGGAUUGGAUUUGUUUAAUACCGGUGGUAGAUAAUCGGAAGUUAACUUAAUUAAAAUACACCAACCGUGUGCGUACCGUGAUUGUCUCUUUUCAGAGGAAUCCGGGAAGAGAACACGAUGGGGUUAUGUCUGACCGUAAGAUAGCUAGGAUCACUUAGUGAUCAUUAGUCUCGACCGUUGGCGUGGGCCUUCUCACCUUAACUCUGAUUUGCGUAUGUUAGCCACCAUACAAUGCUUAGUCGCUUGCAGCAGCUCCACUUAAACAGCCUGAACCCUCCUAUUAAACUUGCUUAGUCUUGUUACCCCGGGUAUCGGGAUUGCUGAGUCCUCGUGGCUCACAGUUACUACAACACCUCAGAUGCAGGUACGACCAAGUUCGAUAAUGCUGAUGCUCAGGAGCUGCAGUGGGAGUACGACGAGGAUCGUGGGUGUUUCUAUGUUACUUAUCUGUACGAUCAGUAGAUUGGGUUCCUAGUCGGGUGAUCCGGGGCUUGUAGCAGGGUGGUCUUUUAUCUUUCUAGAUCCGGAGUCGGAUAUUAUGAGAUUGUAAUAAUAUGAUGUUAUAUUACUAUAUUAUAUUUUGGGGCAUGUGUUGCCUGGCUUAUUAUUCCUGUACCCCUUUCAUAUGUUGUAUGCGUGUAUGAUUUUUCCACCUUGCUACGUGUUUAGGAUGACUUUAUACCCCGGGCUUGAAUUCAUCACAAGUCCCCGAUAUAACUUCAUCCUGGGCAUUACAGACCAUCUCCGCCGGUUGCAGAUUUGCAGACCACAACAGCGACCAUCCGUACAUCUGGGAGUGAUGAGUCAGUAUCCGCCAGCACCGCUGAGAUAUUGCCCACACUGUUGUCGAUGAGGACUGCUGUUUUGAGCAAUGCCACUCCAUCAGCAAGUGCCGAAGUGAAUGCUCCUGAGAUUGUCCUAAACAAGGAAGAUUCUCGCUCAUCUAAUACGGGUUCCAAGCGCGUGUCUGGUGGUCCAGAGGCCGUGGCAACGGUUCAGAAAGAGAGGCCACCCAUAGUUGAGUCUCAUCACACAACAGCUCCAUCGGUUGGUGGUCCAGAGGCUGUUACGACGACCGUUGCACGAUCCGGUCUGCCACCUAUGCGGCGUAGCCCCCGCAAGCAUCCUGCGCAAACAUCAAACGCACCAGGUGCAGUCUCGAGGAGGAGAGACAAGUCCAUGUUUGUGUCUGCUUCGACGUUGUUCCCACCUCCUGCAAAAAGCAUUGUCAUGGAGAAAACGGAAGUCCGGGAUACUGCCGACGCAGGAGGUGAACCUUUGGAACGGUCUGCGCCCACCAUAGUCAUGGAGAACGCCAACUUAAAUCUGCGCACUUCGAAGCUCCCAGUCAACACUGGCGUCCCAUAUAGCCCAAACAGGAGGAUAGUGAAGGAAGUUGCAACGGAGGUCACUGACACCGCGCCCGUGCCCACUAACAAGCCUGAUGAACCCAUAGCAGACGAUGCAGGAAUGUUUGUUGAUCUGUCACCUCUUGAUUCUGCGCAGCAACUUGCUCAAGAUCCGGAUGGUUUGCGGGAGAGGCACCCAAUAGAUUUCACCCCACCGAGCUGCAUCCUUGGCAUCGAUCGCAGUGCAGAUGCAACAGCAGUGCAAGAUCCUAUGCCUGUUGCGUUUGCUUUUCCGGCGGACAUGGUCCCAAUGAUGGCACAACCAAUUCUUGACGGCAGGAAGGCUGUGAAGUUUGCUGAGCCGAUAGUGCAAGCCACCCCUCUUGAGAUUUCACCGUCACUCAAAGACGCGUACCGUAGGAUUGAAGAUGAAGCAUUGUACAGGAGGUCCUCACGGGUUAAGGGGCAAUCAAGUUCUAAUGUGACAACUGAGUCCGUAUUUGAGGAUACCAUUAAAAGUGCCAUGCCUGGAUCUGUGAGGCAGAUUAGGGUGGUCCAUGCACCACGCGGGGAUGACUACGAGCCCGUAGUUAAGGCGACAAAGGAGCAGAACCAGCUAUACGACAUUCUCAAGCGUUUUGGAAAUGCCAGAUCGAACAACAAGCAUAUGAAGGAGUUGAGAGCCUCAUGUUUGGAUAGAACGAAAAUCGUAUAAUGCGAUGUCACUUACGUUGAUCUGGGUGAUCUUGCUGAGUCUGUGAGGCCACUUGGCAAGAUGUCGAAGAAUGUACUUGCAUGCGGGAUUGACUUCAUCAACACGCACGUGGACGUUUGUCCCGACAAGACGAUCUUGCAGUAUAGCGUGACAUGCAAGAUAUGGGAUGGUGACUUCCACCACAAACUUCUGAGGACGCAUUUUGCCAUGCAUGGUGAUUUCAAGCUCACAUUGAAAAAAUAUGAGCUUGCACCACACAACCGAGAUGACAAGUGUGGCCACCACUACGCGAUCUGCGUUGACCUGAAGUACCAACGUUUUGAGGUGCUUGAUUUGAUCCGCUCAGAAGAAGAUACAUAUCUGACGACGCAUGCUGAAUUCUUCAUCGCUAACCUGAAAGAGGCAUGGAAGCGACACUACCAAAACUCGAAGGUCCAGAUCAGCCAUUUUCCAAUUGAGUAUGUGACGACUGAGAAGCAAGGAAACGGGCACGACUGCGGCUUUCAUGCUUUGGAGUAGUUUGCAAAGUGGGAAGGUCGACGCGUCCCUACGAUCACAGAUGCAAUGGUCCUAGAGCUCCGCAAAAUAUACACAUGGAACUGGCUUAUGAAUGGAGAUUUCAACAAGCGGGAGAAUGCACAAGAGUUCUUGGAGGAUGCUGUCAAAACUGCCAUCAAGAAGUAAAAGUGAUCGCAUGAUGCUCCUUAUGGCAAGCCUACCUUACAUUCUGUGCUUGAUGAAUGUAAGGUAUCACCUUGUCCUUCUAAAAAAAAACUAUGUCUAUGUGCUCUGUCAUGACUACGUCCACUUCCCCCCAUCCCCUUAGUGUAGUACAUACUGUUUAGCCCGUGAGUACUGUUUGAAUUAUUUGUAAUAUAUGUGUGUGUGUGAACCUGAUUAGGUGUUAGAAGAA
RNA transcript from Triticum aestivum (bread wheat), 5197 nucleotides. RefSeq lists it as uncharacterized. NCBI's taxonomy places the organism in Eukaryota, Viridiplantae, Streptophyta, Magnoliopsida, Poales, Poaceae. The record is from RefSeq and is a predicted model, not a curated record. The transcript is spliced from 5 exons.